Long non-coding RNA from Oncorhynchus kisutch (coho salmon), 908 nucleotides. RefSeq lists it as uncharacterized. The record is from RefSeq and is a predicted model, not a curated record. The transcript is spliced from 2 exons. NCBI's taxonomy places the organism in Eukaryota, Metazoa, Chordata, Actinopteri, Salmoniformes, Salmonidae.
UGUGAAGUUAUUUGGAUUUUUACAAAUUAUCUUUGAAAUACAGAGUCCUGAAAAAAGGAUGUUUCUUUUUUUUGCUGAGUUUAGCUGCAGUCCGUACUUCAAACUAUCACAAAAUGUUCAUCUUCCCACUUGUUGUGGUAAACAGUUGUUUGAUGGUGCUAAGGAAAUUGUAAUGUUCAAUUCUGAAACUGAAUGAUUGCAUCUCCUAAAAACAAACAUAUAAGACAUUAAGAUAUUGUGAGUGAUUGCUCCAGAUUUACAGUUUUAUUUCUACAUUAUGUUGCACAGCUGGUGCUUUAAUCCUGGAGAGCCCUGCCUAUCCUAUAACUGAGGGAGACUCUGUGACUCUGCGCUGUGCAAAUAGUUAUCAGGAAACAAACCUGAACCCCAUGGUUGAUUUCUACAAAGAUGGAGUACUCAUCAGGAAUGAAACCACAGGAGAGAUGAACAUCCCUGCAGUGUCCAAGUCAGAUGAAGGCUUCUAUAAUUGUAAAUCUAAUCAAGGAGAAUCACCAGAGAGCUGGGUGACAGUGAGAGGUGAGAAGAGCAGUGUGUGUGUGUGUGUGUGUGUUGAUGGUAAAACAUGUGUUUGAUAUUCUCUCCAGGUUCUGUUGUCUCCAUCUCUGCUGCCCAGGCUGCUGUGUGGUUUACUGGUGGUGUCUCCCUUUCUACUGGUGUCUAUUGUGUUGAUGAUAAAAUGUUGCAGGGCCCGAGGCUUGUGUUCAACAGCCAAAUCUCCUCAAGACGAGUUACCAUCUGAUGAUGUCAUCUAACAGACUGAAUCAUCCAUGUGAUCGUUACAAUAUGAACUGUCAGCUGAAAAAAACCAUGUAUAUGAUUUUGACGUUUUUGCUAUUGCCUUGCCAUUGAUUUAUGAUUGUGUUUACUGUGUAUAUAUACACUGCUCA